GUGGCGCACGGGUGAGUAAUGUAUAGGUAAUAUGCCUCUUGCUAAGGGAUAACAAAUGGAAACGUUUGCUAAUACCUUAUACUCCUUAUUAACCUAAGUUAAUAAGGGAAAGAUUUAUUGGUAAGAGAUUAGCCUGUAUUGUAUCAGUUAGUUGGUGGGGUAAUGGCCUACCAAGACUAUGACACAUAACUGGUUUGAGAGGAUGAUCAGUCACACUGGAACUGAGACACGGUCCAGACUCCUACGGGAGGCAGCAGUGGGGAAUAUUGCACAAUGGACGAAAGUCUGAUGCAGCAACGCCGCGUGGAGGAUGACACAUUUCGGUGCGUAAACUCCUUUUAUAUGAGAAGAUAAUGACGGUAUUAUAUGAAUAAGCACCGGCUAACUCCGUGCCAGCAGCCGCGGUAAUACGGGGGGUGCAAGCGUUACUCGGAAUCACUGGGCGUAAAGAGCAUGUAGGCGGAUUAAUAAGUUUGAAGUGAAAUCCUAUA
RNAcentral lists this ribosomal RNA (491 nucleotides) under uncultured bacterium. RNAcentral describes it as "bacterial SSU rRNA". It matches the Rfam family "Bacterial small subunit ribosomal RNA", at positions 95 to 606 of the family's 1533-position model. The record is from RNAcentral.